RNAcentral lists this transfer RNA (67 nucleotides) under Choroedocus capensis. RNAcentral's name for it is "tRNA-Tyr". The record is from RNAcentral. Lineage: Eukaryota; Metazoa; Arthropoda; Insecta; Orthoptera; Acrididae.
GGUAGGGUGGCUGAAUUAUAGGUGGUAGACUGUAAAUCUACUUAUGAGAAAAUUUUCUCCCCUACCA